RNAcentral lists this transfer RNA (73 nucleotides) under Solanum tuberosum (potato). It matches the Rfam family "tRNA". From Rfam's summary of the family: Transfer RNA (tRNA) molecules are approximately 80 nucleotides in length. Their secondary structure includes four short double-helical elements and three loops (D, anti-codon, and T loops). Lineage: Eukaryota; Viridiplantae; Streptophyta; Magnoliopsida; Solanales; Solanaceae. The record is from Rfam by way of RNAcentral.
GCCCGUCUAGCCCAGUUGGUAGAGCGCAAGGCUCUUAACCCUGUGGUCGUGGGUUCGAGCCGUACGGUGGGCG